This 253-nucleotide ribosomal RNA is filed under the name uncultured bacterium. RNAcentral's name for it is "partial 16S ribosomal RNA". It matches the Rfam family "Bacterial small subunit ribosomal RNA", at positions 524 to 776 of the family's 1533-position model. The record is from RNAcentral.
UACGUAGGUGGCAAGCGUUGUCCGGAAUCACUGGGCGUAAAGCGCGCGCAGGCGGCGAUCUACGUCUGGGGUGAAAGCCCGGGGCUCAACCCCGGGUCGGCCGUGCGAACUGCUGGGCUGGAGCACUGUAGAGGCAGGUGGAAUUCCGGGUGUAGCGGUGGAAUGCGUAGAGAUCCGGAAGAACACCGGUGGCGAAGGCGGCCUGCUGGGCAGUAGCUGACGCUGAGGAGCGAAAGCGUGGGGAGCGAACAGG